GAUGAACGCUAGCGGCAGGCCUAAUACAUGCAAGCCGAACGGCAAGAUUGAUAGCAAUAUUGAUCCUAGAGUGGCGUAAGGGUGCGUAACACGUAUGCAAUCUACCCUCAACAGGAGGAUAGCUCCCCGAAAGGGGAAGUUAAGACUCCAUAAGAUCAUUUGGUGGCAUCAUUGAAUAGAUUAAACUUCCAGGGGUUGGAGGAUGAGCAUGCGCCNGAUUAGUUAGUUGGCGGGGUAAGGGCCCACCAAGACGAUGAUCAGUAGGGGAACU
This 271-nucleotide ribosomal RNA is filed under the name uncultured bacterium. RNAcentral's name for it is "partial 16S ribosomal RNA". It matches the Rfam family "Bacterial small subunit ribosomal RNA", at positions 28 to 293 of the family's 1533-position model. The record is from RNAcentral.